RNAcentral lists this ribosomal RNA (484 nucleotides) under uncultured bacterium. RNAcentral's name for it is "partial 16S ribosomal RNA". It matches the Rfam family "Bacterial small subunit ribosomal RNA", at positions 29 to 507 of the family's 1533-position model. The record is from RNAcentral.
AUUGAACGCUGGCGGCAUGCUUUACACAUGCAAGUCGAACGGCAGCGCGGGCUUCGGCCUGGCGGCCAGUGGCGAACGGGUGAGUAAUGCAUCGGAACGUGGCCAGCAGUUGGGGAUAGGCGGGUGAAAGCCGGAUUAAUACCCCAAAACACCUGAGGGUGUAAGCGGGGGACCGAAAGGCCUUGCGCCAUUGGAGCGGCCGAUGUCGGAUUAGCUAGUUGGUGGGGUAAAGGCGUACCAAGGCGACGAUCCGUAGCUGGUCUGAGAGGACGACCAGCCACACUGGGACUGAGACACGGCCCAGACUCCUACGGGAGGCAGCAGUGGGGAAUUUUGGACAAUGGGGGCAAGCCUGAUCCAGCCAUGCCGCGUGCGGGAAGAAGGCCUUCGGGUUGUAAACCGCUUUUGUUCGGGAAGAAAACCUCUGGGCUAAUACCCCGGGGGGAUGACGGUACCGGAAGAAUAAGCACCGGCUAACUACGUG